RNAcentral lists this ribosomal RNA (230 nucleotides) under uncultured bacterium. Its description in RNAcentral is "partial 16S ribosomal RNA". It matches the Rfam family "Bacterial small subunit ribosomal RNA", at positions 546 to 775 of the family's 1533-position model. The record is from RNAcentral.
CGGAUUUACGGGGUGUAAAGGGAGCGUAGACGGCGUGCCAAGUCUGGUGUGAAAGGCGGGGGCCCAACCCCCGGACUGCUCUGGAAACUAUGUGACUGGAGUGCAGGAGAGGUGAGCGGAAUUCCUAGUGUAGCGGUGAAAUGCGUAGAUAUUAGGAGGAACACCAGUGGCGAAGGCGGCUCACUGGACUGUAACUGACGUUGAGGCUCGAAAGCGUGGGGAGCAAACAG